Molecule: long non-coding RNA, 563 nt
Filed under: Linum usitatissimum (flax)
Lineage: Eukaryota; Viridiplantae; Streptophyta; Magnoliopsida; Malpighiales; Linaceae
Description: long non-coding RNA (LUSI_LNC001851)
Source: RNAcentral
AUGUUCUGACUGAGAGAUGGGAUGAAUGGGAAACUUCGGAAGCGCUCAGGGAAAAGAUGAGCAUGGGGCCCCCUCCUUCUCCUUCUCCUAAUUCGCCUUUGAUAUUGGAUUCGACAGAGAACCAGCAGGCACUCGAACUGUCUGCUGCACGGUGACCUGGUCUCAGCAUUGUUGGAAAUCCCUUAUGCACUGUAUUUAUUAUUGUAUAUGAAUCUGAUUCUUUUCCUGUACAGUUCUUUGUAAUAGCUGCAACGUUUUCGUAACGGAACCAUACAAGAAUUACGUAACCAUACCGGAACGGAUUUGAUGAAAAAAGAAGGUUAAUUACUUAGUAUCACAAAGACAAAAAAGAAUAGUGUUUACAGUGUCUCUGUUCAACAAAUUAUGGUACAAAAUGCUCACAACUGAGCUUUCUACAAAGGCCAACUCCUGAAAUCUAUGGUGAAAUGGGCUAUUCUUCCUCCCUAUCUAUGAACUUGGGGAAGGCAAAACUAUCUGAUAAUUUAUCUGGAUAUCGGUCUCAGUGUCCAUUCGUCUUUGGCCUGCUGCUAUGAUGGCUGCAU